GAAUAUCAUUCAAGAUCUCUCACCAGAUGCCGUUUCAUGACCAGAUCUGUGAGGAUUUCACCAGAUCGAUGAAGGUCUGCAACCCUUGAGGGACGGGAGAGAGUGAUGGUGGUGAUGAUCCGGUUACAGGCUUCUAUACGGUGUGACAGUGGUGGUCCUUAACAGCCACCAUACAUUGUUGACGGUUCCAUAGUUAAAAUGAGGAGAAAGACAAUGCCAGAAAACCCUAGCCGCCGCUUCCCGCGAUGGUAGCUAGGGUUCCGGCGAAGUCACCAACGAAGCUCCGAGUUGAUACUUUCAAGAUUGAUCAUCUUCAUACGAGGCUGCUGCUGGUAAAGUUCUAAACUUUUUUAAAUUUAACUUCAAUCUUGUCAUGAUUCUUAACUGAUUUUGGUUUUCUUCAUUACCCUUUUUGAAUGAUAUCAUUUGACCGUUGAGUCCCUUAUUUAUUAAGCAUUUUAAUGUUGAAAUUUAUUGUUUUCAAGAUUAUUUGUGGUGGAU
RNAcentral lists this long non-coding RNA (501 nucleotides) under Helianthus annuus (common sunflower). Its description in RNAcentral is "hypothetical non coding rna". The record is from RNAcentral. Lineage: Eukaryota; Viridiplantae; Streptophyta; Magnoliopsida; Asterales; Asteraceae.